AUCAUAGCUAGCAAUAGACUUGUAUCGGAGGUGCUGCAGUGGUUGUCGUCAGCUCGUGCCGUGAGGUGUCGGCUUAAGUGCCAUAACGAGCGCAACCCUUGUCGUUAGUUACCAUCAAGUAAAGUUGGGGACUCUAGCGAGACUGCCACCGUAAGGUGUGAGGAAGGGGGGGAUGACGUCAAAUCAGCACGGCCCUUACGUCCGGGGCGACACACGUGUUACAAUGGUAGGUACAGAGGGCCGCUAUCCAGUGAUGGAGUGCCAAUCUCAAAAACCUAUCUCAGUUCGGAUCGGAGUCUGCAACUCGACUCCGUGAAGUUGGAUUCGCUAGUAAUCGCGCAUCAGCCAUGGCGCGGUGAAUACGUUCCCGGGCCUU
This 376-nucleotide ribosomal RNA is filed under the name uncultured Rikenellaceae bacterium. Its description in RNAcentral is "bacterial SSU rRNA". It matches the Rfam family "Bacterial small subunit ribosomal RNA", at positions 1009 to 1382 of the family's 1533-position model. The record is from RNAcentral. Lineage: Bacteria; Pseudomonadati; Bacteroidota; Bacteroidia; Bacteroidales; Rikenellaceae.